RNAcentral lists this ribosomal RNA (261 nucleotides) under uncultured bacterium. RNAcentral describes it as "partial 16S ribosomal RNA". It matches the Rfam family "Bacterial small subunit ribosomal RNA", at positions 793 to 1055 of the family's 1533-position model. The record is from RNAcentral.
GUCCACACCGUAAACGUUGGGCGCUAGGUGUGGGGUCCAUUCCACGGAUUCCGUGCCGCAGCUAACGCAUUAAGCGCCCCGCCUGGGGGAGUACGGCCGCAAGGCUAAAACUCAAAGGAAUUGACGGGGGCCCGCACAAGCGGCGGAGCAUGCGGAUUAAUUCGAUGCAACGCGAAGAACCUUACCUGGGUUUGACAUAUGCCGGAAAGCUCUAGAGAUAGAGCCCCUUUUGUCGGUAUACAGGUGGUGCAUGGCUGUCGU